AGGGUUUGAUUAUGGCUCAGGACGAACGCUGGCGGCGUGCCUAAUACAUGCAAGUCGAGCGAGCGGAACCAACAGAUUUACUUCGGUAAUGACGUUGGGAAAGCGAGCGGCGGAUGGGUGAGUAACACGUGGGGAACCUGCCCCUAAGUCUGGGAUACCAUUUGGAAACAGGUGCUAAUACCGGAUAAUAAAGCAGAUCGCAUGAUCAGCUUUUGAAAGGCGGCGUAAGCUGUCGCUAAGGGAUGGCCCCGCGGUGCAUUAGCUAGUUGGUAAGGUAACGGCUUACCAAGGCGACGAUGCAUAGCCGAGUUGAGAGACUGAUCGGCCACAUUGGGACUGAGACACGGCCCAA
Molecule: ribosomal RNA, 352 nt
Filed under: uncultured bacterium
Lineage: Bacteria
Description: bacterial SSU rRNA
Rfam family: Bacterial small subunit ribosomal RNA
Source: RNAcentral